Lycium barbarum (goji berry) is the source of this 2506-nucleotide RNA transcript. RefSeq lists it as uncharacterized. NCBI's taxonomy places the organism in Eukaryota, Viridiplantae, Streptophyta, Magnoliopsida, Solanales, Solanaceae. The transcript has 4 exons. The record is from RefSeq and is a predicted model, not a curated record.
UUCUUAUCUAGAAUCUACCCGCAUAACGUUCUUGUUCCAUCGGCUUCUAGAAUCUAUAUCCGGUCAAGACAUCUACUCUCCCUCACUUCUCCUUCUCUGCUUAUAGCCUGGAUCUGCUCCGCAAUUCAGAUUAUUUCUGAGUUGCGGUAAGUUGUUUUUCUUCUUUUUCCUGAUCUUCUUCAAUUUGUCCAAUUCAAUGGUGGCUAUUUUUAUUCUUUCUUCAAUUUUUAGGAGAAGCCAGCUUUUUCAAUUUUUAAUGACUUGAAGCAAGGUUUCUACUCAUUAAAUAACCAAGCGCUCUUUUGCCAGAACAAGUAGAUACAGAAGAUGAGGCACCGCUUUCUAAGUGGAUUCUACCUAAGAAGUCAAGACUGCCGCUAGGUGAAGAUACACUUGACAAAUAUAUUUGCUGGUGGUGUGGAGAAAUCAUCUUCCAGGUGAUGACUGAUUGCUGGACAUUUUAAGCCUUUGUUCAUUCACGAUUGCAUAUCUGAACAUACUCAUAAAUGCCAUCAGCCAUGAGAAGACUGAUUUGUAACAAUCAAAAUGCUUAAUACAAAAGAUAGCACCAAGUGCCUACAUAUCUCCAUAGGACACCGUGAUUUUCACUUGCUUACUUUUUUUAAAAAAAAAAAAUAGCCUUUCACCUCAUAUAAAUACCCUUAGGUGAUACCUGGAAUAGAUGAAGGACCAAGACCCAUAGGUCCACCAGAAACUGCUGGAUGAGCGACAUUGGACAUCCACCCAGCAAGAGGAGCUGCCACGGGUGCUAGCCCAGGUUGGAAAGGCUGAAAAAAGUUUGUAACAGAAUAAGCAGAACUCUUAGAGGUUAAACAUAAGUAGGAAUUAAGCUGUACAAAAAACCAAACCCAUGUGCACCAAGAGGAGGGAAGCUGCCUGGUUUUGGCACUGGUGCUCGAGCACCAUUUGAUUGUCCACAAGAAUGAUCCACGAACAGAGUUUUAAUAUCUGGAUUUGGCCUAGGAUUUUUACAUAGUUGGUGCUGCCAAUUUAAGCUGCAGCAUGCAUUCAUUGUCAGUUCCCAAAAUCACUCUGUCGAUCAUAAAUUAUCAAGCUCUAAAAAAUGAGCUGAAGAAAAGCUGCUGGUUGAAUACAGUUGUUAGUCAUGGUGAAGCUGUUAGAAGCUCAUCCCCUGAGACGACUAUUUCUCAUAUUCUUGUGCACCAGGUAAGUUUCACCACCUAAUCGAGUCUUACGCAUUUAUUUUGUCCGGUGGUGUCCGGCUCACAUUGAAACCACAAUGCAUAUUCAUUUGACGUCAUUGCUUCGAUUUGAGUUAUGAAAAGCAUGUAAGAAAGAUUAGAAAGUAGCACAUGGUCCUAUCACCUAUGUUUCAAACAUUUAGAUCAAUAUGCUUGAGCAAACAGUGAAACUCCCUGCGAAGAGAAUUUUUGCGCUUUAGAAAUUUUAUGUGAGACUACAAAAUAAUGAUAUGCUUAUUUUUGAAAUAAAAAUGUUAUUUGAAUGAAUUUGAAGUUGGAAAUAAAUGUAUUUUGAGGUUUAAUGAAUUAUCAUUUCCUAGAGUAUUCCUAUAAUUAUUUACUGAUUUGUGAAGAUCCUUGGUUCUUCUCUGUUAUUAAUUUUUAGUUACAUUUUGAAUUUAUGCUUUACUGAAGGCAGAACCUUUAAAUUUGAAAUUCUUAAAUUGGUGGAAUAACAUCAAACAAGUACAAAUUUCCCAUUCAUAAUCCUAGAUCUGUCUCUUAAUCUAUAUUGUGAGCCUUUUUUAACAUAGUUGUAUAAUCAGUUUUAUCUACUACUUUUGACCUACACUACAUUUCUCCCAACAUUUUUCCCAUUAUAAUUCCAUACAAAAGCUUGGUAAUAUUGUAUACCAAAUCCAGCUUCUCCCUAUUUAGUACCAAAGUUAUUUUAAUGAUAAACUAGACAAGAUAUCUUGCUUGGCUUUUUCAUGUAAUUGACAGGUUCUGAUAUGUUUGUCGAAGAGUUUAAAGAGGAAGCUUAUGAUAAGGUGGUAAACUUCAAUGGUAUUGUCUUAGUUGAGUUCGUCGGGCCUCGGUGUGGGCGUUGACAAGCUCGGACACCCACAUAGGAAAUGACAACUAAAAUCUUGAAAUGUCUUGCUACUAUAGUAGCUCAAUAGUCCCUUGGCCAGUAGCUGUUUGCAUGGUGUGGAUAUUCUGAAAGCUGAGUAGUGGAGAUAUGUGAUUUUUCAGCCUCUAUGCAAGUGAGAGUUGUCUUUUGAUGGAAUUCUUCCACCAGGCACUAUCAACGACACUGAUAAGUUCGUAUGUAGGAGUUGGACAAGAUUCCCAGUCUAUGAAACUUAUUUUCGUCGGGAAUCGCCCUUUUAUGCUAGCUCUGUUGGGAGGUAAAUAUGGCGAUUCAGUUGAAGCAUGGGACUGUUUGAAUGAGAACGCAUGAAUAAGUGUGAAGAUAAUACAAAUAUCUGCGAUUUUCCUUUCUUAUGUUAAACCAUAUCAAAAUUAUUAAUUAAUUUGAAGGAAUGAAAAUAUAGAGCCUA